This 307-nucleotide long non-coding RNA is filed under the name Pan troglodytes (chimpanzee). RNAcentral's name for it is "long non-coding RNA NONPTRT008771". The record is from RNAcentral. Lineage: Eukaryota; Metazoa; Chordata; Mammalia; Primates; Hominidae.
CGACGAUAUUGGGAGGGGUAGGUGAGGGUCGCGAGGCUGCGUGAGCUUCUGAGUGAACGCGGUGCUUUUGGGAACGCGGGACGGGCGACCUGUGGCGCCAGGAGCGGGCCGAGGCGCGGCGGCGCGGCUGCCGUCUGGAUGGGAAGUUACGGUUUACAGCGAAGUCCACCCAGCGUUUCCGAGGUGAAGGCGCCGCGCCAGGCCGGGCGGGCGGCUGGUGAUGGGCAAGCCGGGUGUACCAAGUCCAUGAUGCACAUGAGGAGCGUUUGUAGCCAUCACUGAAUCACCUCAUGACUAGCGGGGCAGG